This 608-nucleotide long non-coding RNA is filed under the name Rhinopithecus bieti (black snub-nosed monkey). Its description in RNAcentral is "lncRNA (ENSRBIG00000045078.1)". The record is from RNAcentral. Lineage: Eukaryota; Metazoa; Chordata; Mammalia; Primates; Cercopithecidae.
AUUAUGAGGAAUCAUAAUGGUCAGAAUGGGAACAAACUGACCAAAGGGCUUACUGGAUGAAGCUAACCAGAUAGAGUGAGACCAGAGAGAAGAUGUGGCCCAGGAAGUCAUAACCUCCUGUUCCUGACUUGGACUUUCUCCUUUGUCCUGUGUCUGGAGACUUCUUGGAAGCUGAAGCACACAAAUAGCUACAGCAAACCUGAGGAAUGGACAUGAAUAGACUGGCUUUGGGGAACCUGCCAGCUUGGCUGUGUGGCCAAGAAUCCUGCUUUCUGUGAUGGAAACUAAUGAAUUGUGACCCAAUCCAUGAAAGUGUUAUCAACAGAAGCUCAUGGGAGCAUGAAGUCCUCUCUUGUGUGCAUGGUGGAUAUUCCUGUGGCUGGUGGCAGGCCAAUGCAGGAGAACCUGACAACAGGAAACCUUGAAAUGAGAAGGGAGAAGCCUUCCUGGAGCCUGGCUGGCAGAGCCCCUGUCUGAUCUGUCUAGCAGUUAUGGAGCUGGAGACAGGCGCAGUGCUCUUACUUCCUCCUCGAGGAAAAGAACCCCACCAAAAUAGAUCCUCAUCGUCUUGCAAACACCACCCAGAAUAAAUAUACAGGAAAUGAGGG